AACGAACGCUGGCGGCAGGCUUAACACAUGCAAGUCGAACGGGUGUAGCAAUACAUCAGUGGUAGACGGGUGAGUAACACGUGGGAACCUUCCUAGGGGUACGGAACAACUCAGGGAAACUCAAGCUAAUACCGGAUAAGCCCUUAUGGGGAAAGGUUUACUGCCGAAGGAUCGGCCCGCGUCUGAUUAGCUAGUUGGUGAGGUAAUGGCUCACCAAGGCGACGAUCAGUAGCUGGUCUGAAAGGAUGAUCAGCCACACUGGGACUGAGACACGGCCCAGACUCCUACGGGAGGCAGCAGUGGGGAAUAUUGGACAAUGGGGGCAACCCUGAUCCAGCCAUGCCGCGUGAGUGAUGAAGGCCUUAGGGUUGUAAAGCUCUUUUACCCGGGACGAUAAUGACUGUACCGGGAGAAUAAGCCCCGGCUAACUUCGUGCCAGCCGCCGCAGUAA
This 451-nucleotide ribosomal RNA is filed under the name uncultured bacterium. RNAcentral describes it as "partial 16S ribosomal RNA". It matches the Rfam family "Bacterial small subunit ribosomal RNA", at positions 29 to 523 of the family's 1533-position model. The record is from RNAcentral.